Long non-coding RNA from Puntigrus tetrazona (Sumatra barb), 983 nucleotides. RefSeq lists it as uncharacterized. Lineage: Eukaryota; Metazoa; Chordata; Actinopteri; Cypriniformes; Cyprinidae. The record is from RefSeq and is a predicted model, not a curated record. The transcript has 2 exons.
CGUGGCUCUUCUUCAGAAGGAUGUUCAGGAUCUGGCAGUGCUCCUCAGAGCCAGGAAGAUCUGGUUUCAAGAUUAUGCUGCAUAACCAGGAAAUUAGAAGUUAGAACUACUUUAAAGGUAAAGCAGACGAGUCAACCGGUCUCAUUGAUGGAGGUAGGUUGAGAAUGAAACGUGUGAGAGCAAAACUAAACGUUCAAGGACAGGUCAAAAGUAUUAGGAGUCUAUAAUUAAAGGUAAACAAAGGUGUUUAUGGGAGAAUGGGACAGAGACGCCCUAACAGCGUUUAAAUGCUAAUACUACGCCUCCCUCUACAGUCUGGGCACACCAUGUGCUUGCGUUUGCUGAUGAGUGAGUGGCUGCUGUUUCCCGACUGAUUUGAUGUGGCAGCAUGAAUGUAAAUGAAAAUGAAGUUCAAUCAAUACAUAUUUUUUAUUUAUUUAUAUAUUUCUUUUGCAUUAUUUUGUUUCACGUGAAGCAGUAUCAAUGGCUUUCCUGAAUUUAGAUGUCACGUAUUUAUGAACAAGCAAAAACGUGCCAGCAAAAUAAAAUAUUUGAUCGUUAAGCAUUAUAAAUCCUGCUAAGCUUUAAGUGUCUUUUAAUCUGUUUACUGUGGUAGGAUAAACUGUAUUUAACUCUGUACUGUUGGAAAUAACAAGUUAAACAUUACACAUGUUAGUAGAGAGCACAGGAUUCUGUAUGAGAUCAGUCAGAAAGAAAGAAACGAGCACUUCUAUUCAAUAAGAAUGCAUUAAAACUUAUACCAAGUGAUAGUAAAUUGUUAUAAAAAUGUUCUCUUAUUUUAUCAAAGUAAAUGAUCACGUUUUCCAUAGAACUAUUAAGCAGGCCAGCCUUUUAUAAUUGUGAUAAUGACAAAUUAGAAUGACUUCUGAAUGAUCAUGUGACGCUGAAAAAAAAAAUAAGAGUAAUAUAUUAAAUUGAAAUAUACUAACAUAUAAAACAGUUUUGAAAUGGUAAUAAUAGUU